GGCCUACGGGGGGCAGCAGUGAGGAAUAUUGGUCAAUGGGAGAGAUCCUGAACCAGCCAAGCCGCGUGAGGGAAGACGGCCCUAUGGGUUGUAAACCUCUUUUGUCGGAGAACAAAACCCGGGACGAGUCCCGGACUGCGUGUAUCCGAAGAAAAAGCAUCGGCUAACUCCGUGCCAGCAGCCGCGGUAAUACGGAGGAUGCGAGCGUUAUCCGGAUUUAUUGGGUUUAAAGGGUGCGCAGGCGGCGUGUCAAGUCAGCGGUAAAAUGUCGGGGCUCAACCCCGGCCGGCCGUUGAAACUGGCGU
Molecule: ribosomal RNA, 305 nt
Filed under: uncultured bacterium
Lineage: Bacteria
Description: bacterial SSU rRNA
Rfam family: Bacterial small subunit ribosomal RNA
Source: RNAcentral